GUCAUUUAGGAGCGACUCUACAUUAGAUCCUGGUGGACAGAGAAGGGUUGAUUGCACACAUUAUAAGAACCAUGUUUCACACCCAAGGGCAACAUAUGAGGAAACUCCUGCCAUGUGUUUUGUUAUCAUUGGUCGUAGGCAUUGUGACGGGGCAGCGCAGCGUCAGCAGCAAAAGGGAUUGUUCUACAGAGGAAUACUGGAGCGACGGGCUCUGCUGUGACAAAUGUGCUCCAGGGUAUAAAUUGAUAAGGAAAUGCUCUAGUGUCAUGGCAUCGCAAUGUGAGAAAUGUUCGAAAGGGACAUACCUAGACAAGAUGAACUAUUUCCCAAACUGCUUCAGAUGCGAGAAAUGCACCAAGCGGAAUGCGGUGGUGAUUUCACCAUGUACACCCCAAAAUAACACAGUUUGUGAAUGUCAGUCUGGAUACUACAAAAAGUUCUUUGAUACAAUUUCAUGGGAUUGUGUGCCCUUUAAAAGGACUGUUUCUGUAGCUAUUUAGAGGUCUGCUACCAGAACUAGCCCGACGGGUCCCGAAAUACUCUCGGGUUUCGGGGCGGGUUCAGGUCGGGUGCGGGUCGGGCUCAAGUGUGUAGCUAAAGUAAAAUAUGAAGUAGGCUACGCUGCUUUCAUGGACACACUCCAAGGGCGUAGCAGACGGGGGGGACAUGUCCCCCGCACUUUUAGAAAAAGGUUAUUCUGUCCCCCGCACUUGGUUUGACCCGCGGCCGAUAUUUCCGCCCUUGAUCUCUGAUUUGUUUAUUUAGAUUUGAGUGAACUAACAUUCAGCCAAUCACAA
Long non-coding RNA from Sinocyclocheilus rhinocerous, 797 nucleotides. RefSeq lists it as uncharacterized. Lineage: Eukaryota; Metazoa; Chordata; Actinopteri; Cypriniformes; Cyprinidae. The record is from RefSeq and is a predicted model, not a curated record. The transcript is spliced from 5 exons.